This is a long non-coding RNA of Rosa chinensis, 1745 nucleotides long. RefSeq lists it as uncharacterized. NCBI's taxonomy places the organism in Eukaryota, Viridiplantae, Streptophyta, Magnoliopsida, Rosales, Rosaceae. The transcript has 2 exons. The record is from RefSeq and is a predicted model, not a curated record.
CAUACUACUAAAGUCGUUGGUGGGAUGGUUACUGUUACUAAGCCGAGUAACAGUAGGGGCUCCAGCCGAGCCGAUGUGAAACUACGGUUUCUGCCCUUAUUUUGUAAUAAUUUGCAUCUUUGCCAUUCUUGCUGGGUGGAUAGGCAUAAGUGUCAGGUCCUUGCUUCCCAUCUACACCGACAUCAACUCUUACAAGGUCAAUAGGGAAUCAGUGAUAAAACGUUGGUGGGUAUUUGUGGACAGGGGAAGAAGGAAAGGAAGGAGGAGAGAGAGAGAGAGAGCGGCGGAAGGAGGAAGAGAGAGAGCGGCGGAAGGUAUCUGUGAAAAUCUAAUUUGUUGGUUUCUUCUUCUUUUUCUUUCUUGAUCUCAAAUUUUCUGAUUGAAAUUCUAUCUGGGUCGUGUAUUUGAUGGGUCAAAGAUUGGAUGCUUCAAAAUUAAAUACUUAAUCAUAAAGAGUGAGGCUUUGAAUCAUUUUGUCCACUGUUGUGUUGAGGAAAUUGAGCGUUUUGAUAGUUCUUGACUAUCAAAAGUUAUACUGUGUUUGAAUUUACACGUUUAGAUUUGUGGGUUUAUAUGCAUAUUAUUGUUUAGGGACGUUAUUAAAAAGUAUGUGUUGCAAAGGAGAGCAAAUUCGUGCUCUGUAACCUCUGUUUCAUCUGUUUAUUUUUUCUGGGUUUGAAUUAACCUUGGUCCUUUUCUGUUCUGGAAGAGCUAUUUUUGGAUGUGUACCUAAAGAUCGAUAAGAUGGAGUUGUCAAUAGUUACCUUUAUUUGUUUGUACUCAUUGAGGCUAAACCUCCUUUUGGGUGGUGAUUAUCAUAGCUGAUAUUGUUUUGGGCAUCAUUUGUCUUCAAAGUUAUAUAAAUUCCAAUUGAUCUAUAGCAACUUAAGGAAUCUGUUUCAAUCUUUGGAGUUGUUGUUGUUGUUUUUUUUUUUUUUGUGUGUGACAAAAACACAUAUUAAAGCCAAAUAUUGCUCUUAAAGUCAAAAGAAUAUUAUCAAGAUGAUUGAAACUACGGUUCUGUCCAUGAAGAUAGAUUUGCGUAAGCUUUCGGAUAUAGUCUUAGACAACUACAUGUAGAAUCAGUUAAAGAGUUUCUAGAACUCAAUGCAUUGUCAAAUUAUUAAAGCUUGGUUGUACUAUUUACACUUUUGUUGGGUAAUAGUGUGUUUGGCUUGAUUAUUAGGUUGACUCCAGGAUGAUUUACUUUUUUACUUUUGUAUUGUGAUUAGUUUCUUUCAAAGAUAUGUAUUCCUGCGGCUUUAUUAAUACCAUUAAAAGGUGAGCAAUUUGGUUUUGGUUGUUGAAAUUGGGUGAAAGAUUGGUGCUUUUGUCUAUAAUUUCUUUAAGAAGAUUUAUAUGAUUGGUGAAAUUGUUUGCUCUGCUCCAGAAGAGCAGCAACAGAAAUAGUACUUCGUUUGAGGAGAAGAUUUAUACUGCUGGAUGUAUAUCUAUGAUUUCUUGAUACUUCCAGAAUUCUUUGAACAUUCAUUUUGGGAUUGAGAGAGUAUAUAGAAGGAACAAGUAAUCUGUAGUGCGGUUUUGGAAUGGGCGGUGGGAGACCCAUCAAGAGCAGAUUGGAGGUAUAGACCAUGCUAGAGAUGUGUCUCUCAAUUUAUAUUAGAUCUUUUGUAAUGUCAAGAAAGCAUGCAGGGUUUGUUAAUUGAAUUGUAUAAGAUUAAGGAUUCAUUUCAAACAAUUCCUAUUGUUAUUAAGAGUGAGUGAAUUAAAAUGUUAUUUAUCUA